This 512-nucleotide ribosomal RNA is filed under the name uncultured bacterium. RNAcentral's name for it is "partial 16S ribosomal RNA". It matches the Rfam family "Bacterial small subunit ribosomal RNA", at positions 28 to 522 of the family's 1533-position model. The record is from RNAcentral.
GACGAACGCUGGCGGCAUGCCUAAUACAUGCAAGUCGAGCGAACAGAUGAAGUGCUUGCACUUCUGACGUUAGCGGCGAACGGGUGAGUAACACGUAAGGAAUCUACCUAUAAGCGGGGGAUAACAUUUGGAAACGGGUGCUAAUACCGCAUAAUAUCUUCUUCCGCAUGGAAGAAGAUUGAAAGACGGCUCUGCUGUCACUUAUAGAUGACCUUGCGGUGCAUUAGUUAGUUGGUGGGGUAACGGCCUACCAAGACGAUGAUGCAUAGCCGACCUGAGAGGGUGAUCGGCCACAUUGGGACUGAGACACGGCCCAAACUCCUACGGGAGGCAGCAGUAGGGAAUCUUCCGCAAUGGGCGAAAGCCUGACGGAGCAAUGCCGCGUGAGUGAAGAAGGCCUUCGGGUCGUAAAACUCUGUUAUAAGAGAAGAACAAAUUGUAGAGUAACUGCUACAGUCUUGACGGUAUCUUAUCAGAAAGCCACGGUUAACUACGUGCCAGCCGCCGCGGUA